GUUUAUGAAGAACACAAAAUCAAAUGGAGUUAACGUAAAGGCUUAAAAAGGGAAAAUGAUCUGAUCCGUCACAUUCAUAUCCUUUGAUCUUUGAAGGUGCUAGACGGAGUAAUGAUGAUGGAGUCACGGAGGGAGAAUGUUACGGAACAGAGAAAUCUAAAUUUGAAGUUGCUAGACGGGGUAAUAAUGAUUUGUAUAGGGGAUAUGUGAUGAAUGCUUGUAAGAUGUGUGUAUGUGUAACGUAUGCUUGUAUAGAUGAGAUAAAUGUGUGGGAUGUGGAUGGUGCAUGUAGAUGAAUGUGUAGGAAGUGGAUGGUGUAGAUGAAUGUGUAGGAUGUGGAUGGUGAAGAUGAAUGUGUAGGAUGUAGAUGGUGUAUGUAAUGUGUAGGAUGUAUAUAGGAAGAUGGUGUAGCAAGUGGAUGGUGUAGUAGAUAAAAAGGUGUAGGAUGUGAUGGAUGAAUGUGUAGGAAGUGGAUGGUGUAGAUGAAUGUGUAGGAUGUAUAGAAAUGUGAAUAUGUGAUGAAUGUGUAAGAUGAAUUUAGUAUUGAAUUGUAGGAUAAGUG
RNAcentral lists this long non-coding RNA (562 nucleotides) under Arabidopsis lyrata. RNAcentral describes it as "long non-coding RNA (ALYR_LNC002223)". The record is from RNAcentral. Lineage: Eukaryota; Viridiplantae; Streptophyta; Magnoliopsida; Brassicales; Brassicaceae.